RNAcentral lists this long non-coding RNA (223 nucleotides) under Carica papaya (papaya). RNAcentral describes it as "long non-coding RNA (CPAP_LNC015603)". The record is from RNAcentral. Lineage: Eukaryota; Viridiplantae; Streptophyta; Magnoliopsida; Brassicales; Caricaceae.
GGAAAUUUCUCUGUUGUGGAGUACUCUACUUUUUCAGUUUGGGAUAUUGGGCUCUGAAGUUUGAUUCUAGCUCCUAUGUGGUCUUUUUCUAUGUGUAAUUCUACCAUAUGACCUUAACAAAGGAAAUUUCUCUGUUGUGGAGUACUCUACUUUUUCAGUUUACAAUGCCCACUAGUAUCUCCUCAUAGAAUGGAUCCUCCUGGGGUAAAGGGGCUUGUGGGAU